RNAcentral lists this transfer RNA (77 nucleotides) under Acidobacteriota bacterium. RNAcentral describes it as "Acidobacteria bacterium (soil metagenome) tRNA-Arg". It matches the Rfam family "tRNA". Rfam says of the family: Transfer RNA (tRNA) molecules are approximately 80 nucleotides in length. The record is from RNAcentral. Lineage: Bacteria; Pseudomonadati; Acidobacteriota.
GCGCCCGUAGCUCAGCUGGAUAGAGCGGCAGCCUCCGAAGCUGUAGGUCGCAAGUUCGAAUCUUGCCGGGCGCACCA